Molecule: long non-coding RNA, 588 nt
Filed under: Gorilla gorilla (western gorilla)
Lineage: Eukaryota; Metazoa; Chordata; Mammalia; Primates; Hominidae
Description: long non-coding RNA NONGGOT007818
Source: RNAcentral
GUUGUACACACAGACCUUGGCAGUGUGGAGGGAGAGAGCCUGGUUUUUCCGCCCAGCCCUGGGCAACCUUCUGGUGUCCCAGGAUAGAAAAAAGACUCACAUUUCUUUGCACCACUGAGCCCAUCACUGCAGCACCAGAGCAUUUGACAUCUGCAAAACAACAUCAUUAGGUAGGUGUUAACUUUUCCCCACUGGUAGGCCUGGUGCUCGUAAAUGUACUGUGACGAGUGUAAUGUGUUUAUGAGAAUGCGCAUAAUAAAUUAUCAGAAAUAGGCUGCAUUUUUAAUAUCACUUAAUAUAUCAAGUUGGCCUCUAAGCAGCCACACACUAUAUUGCAAAUGCUGAGCUGACUUGCUGGCAUCAGCGCUCCAUCAUGCUCUUCAUGCCGAGGCCAUAGCGUAUGCCAAGAAGGAGGCAGGGGACCCCCAGAGUGGUGGUUCCUACCUCCCUUCCUAACUUCCCCUCCAUCAUCUGGAAUCUAAGGAAAAAUGGGCUUCAUUUAUCACUGGGCCCCCUACAGAUCACAGCGGGGGGCCUGUUACAGGGCAGGUGCACAAUAAAUAUUUGUUGAAAUGUGGCUUCAUGAAU